UACAGAGGGGGCAAGCGUUGUUCGGAAUUACUGGGCGUAAAGCGUGCGCAGGCGGUUAUGUAAGUCAGAUGUGAAAUGCCCGGGCUUAACCUGGGAACUGCAUUUGUGACUGCAUGGCUAGAGUGUGUCAGAGGGGGGUAGAAUUCCACGUGUAGCAGUGAAAUGCGUAGAUAUGUGGAGGAAUACCGAUGGCGAAGGCAGCCCCCUGGGAUAACACUGACGCUCAUGCACGAAAGCGUGGGGAGCAAACAGG
Molecule: ribosomal RNA, 253 nt
Filed under: uncultured bacterium
Lineage: Bacteria
Description: partial 16S ribosomal RNA
Rfam family: Bacterial small subunit ribosomal RNA
Source: RNAcentral